RNAcentral lists this ribosomal RNA (503 nucleotides) under uncultured Lachnospiraceae bacterium. RNAcentral describes it as "partial 16S ribosomal RNA". The record is from RNAcentral. Lineage: Bacteria; Bacillati; Bacillota; Clostridia; Lachnospirales; Lachnospiraceae.
CACGUAGUUAGCCGGGGCUUCUUAGUCAGGUACCGUCAUUAUCUUCCCUGCUGAUAGAGCUUUACAUACCGAAAUACUUCUUCACUCACGCGGCGUCGCUGCAUCAGGGUUUCCCCCAUUAUGCAAUAUUCCCCACUGCUGCCUCCCGUAGGAGUCUGGGCCGUGUCUCAGUCCCAAUGUGGCCGUUCACUCUCUCAAGCCGGCUACUGAUCGUCGCCUUGGUAGGCCGUUACCCUGCCAACUAGCUAAUCAGACGCGGGUCCGUCUCACAGCGAUAAAUCUUUGAAGGAACCUUCAUGCGGAGAUCCCUUGUUAUGCGGUAUUAGCAGCCGUUUCCGGCUGUUGUCCCCCUCUGUGAGGCAGGUUACCCACGCGUUACUCACCCGUCCGCCACUCAGUCAUUACCAUCUUCCCUCCGAAAAGUUCCGUCGGUAGCGCUUCGUUCGACUUGCAUGUGUUAAGCACGCCGCCAGCGUCAUCUCGUAGCCAGAGUCAAACUACUA